AGAGUUUGAUCCUGGCUCAGGAUGAACGCUAGCGGCAGGCUUAACACAUGCAAGUCGAGGGGUAACGAUGGUGCUUGCACCAGUCGACGACCGGCGCACGGGUGAGUAAUGUAUAUGCAACCUACCUGUAACAGAGAGAUAGCCCGUGGAAACGCGGAUUAAUAUCUUAUAACAUCAAUUUUUCGCAUGAUAAAUUGAUUAAAGCCCCGGCGGUUACAGAUGGGCAUAUAUCUCAUUAGCUAGUUGGUAAGGUAACGGCUUACCAAGGCAACGAUGAGUAGGGGGCCUGAGAGGGUGAUCCCCCACACUGGUACUGAGACACGGACCAGACUCCUACGGGAGGCAGCAGUGAGGAAUAUUGGUCAAUGGAGGCAACUCUGAACCAGCCAUGCCGCGUGAAGGAUGACGGUCCUACGGAUUGUAAACUUCUUUUCUGCAAGAAGAAACCUGUCUACGUGUAGACAUCUGACGGUAUUGCAGGAAUAAGGAUCGGCUAACUCCGUGCCAGCAGCCGCGGUAAUACGGAGGAUCCAAGCGUUAUCCGGAUUUAUUGGGUUUAAAGGGUGCGUAGGCGGAAUUAUAAGUCAAAGGUGAAAGUUUGCAGCUUAACUGUAAAAGUGCCUUUGAUACUGUAGUUCUUGAGUAUAGUUGAGGUAGGCGGAAUAUGUAAUGUAGCGGCGAAAUGCACAGAUAUUACAUAGAACACCGAUUGCGAAGGCAGCUUACUAAGCUAUUACUGACGCUGAUGCACGAAAGCGUGGGGAGCGAACAGGAUUAGAUACCCUGGUAGUCCACGCCGUAAACGAUGAUAACUCGUUGUUGGCGAUACACAGUCAGCGACCAAGCGAAAGCGUUAAGUUAUCCACCUGGGGAGUACGAUCGCAAGGUUGAAACUCAAAGGAAUUGACGGGGGCCCGCACAAGCGGAGGAAUAUGUGGUUUAAUUCGAUGAUACGCGAGGAACCUUACCUGGGCUUAAAUGUAGAGUGCAUGAGACGGAAACGACUCUUUUCUUCGGAACUCUUUACAAGGUGCUGCAUGGUUGUCGUCAGCUCGUGCCGUGAGGUAUCGGGUUAAGUCCCAUAACGAGCGCAACCCCUAUUGUUAGUUGCCAUCGGGUCAAGCCGGGGACUCUAACAAAACUGCCCGUGUAAGCGGGAGGAAGGUGGGGAUGACGUCAAAUCAGCACGGCCCUUAUGUCCAGGGCUACACACGUAUUACAAUGGCACAUACAAAGGGCAGCUACCAGGCGACUGGAUGCUAAUCUCUAAAGUGUGUCUUAGUUCGGAUAGGAGUCUGCAAUUCGACUCCUUGAAGCAGGAUUCGCUAGUAAUCGCGCAUCAGCCAUGGCGCGGUGAAUACGUUCCCGGGCCUUGUACACACUGCCCGUCAAGCCAUGGAAGCCGGGGGUACCUGAAGUCUGUUACCGUAAGGAGCGGCCUAGGGUAAAACUGGUGACUGGGGCUAAGUCGUAACAAGGUAACC
Molecule: ribosomal RNA, 1484 nt
Filed under: uncultured bacterium
Lineage: Bacteria
Description: bacterial SSU rRNA
Rfam family: Bacterial small subunit ribosomal RNA
Source: RNAcentral